GCGACAGACUCUGGAGAGAGGCCGCCCCAUGCGGUCCGCCGACGGGAUAACGAUCUCAGGCAGAAGGACAGAGGGGCAUGG
This 81-nucleotide non-coding RNA is filed under the name Wenxinia saemankumensis. RNAcentral describes it as "Glycine sequence". It matches the Rfam family "Glycine riboswitch aptamer". From Rfam's summary of the family: This family represents the bacterial glycine riboswitch. Glycine riboswitches usually consist of two metabolite-binding aptamers domains with similar structures in tandem. The record is from RNAcentral. Lineage: Bacteria; Pseudomonadati; Pseudomonadota; Alphaproteobacteria; Rhodobacterales; Roseobacteraceae.